GACGAACGCUGGCGGCGUGCUUAACACAUGCAAGUGGAGCGACGAACCAGGGCUUGCCCUGGGGCAGAGCCGCGAACGGGUGAGUAACACGUGGGUAACGUGCCCCGAUGAUCGGGACAACCCGGGGAAACCCGGGCUAAUACCGAAUGUGCUCCCCUCACACCAGUGAGGGAUGGAAAGGAAGCUUCGGCCUCCGCAUCGGGAUCGGCCCGCGGCCCAUUAGCUUGUUGGUGAGGUAACGGCNCACCAAGGCUGCGAUGGGUAGCUGGUCUGAGAGGACGAUCAGCCACACUGGGACUGAGACACGGCCCAGACUCCUACGGGAGGCAGCAGUGGGGAAUCUUGCGCAAUGCGCGAAAGCGUGACGCAGCAACGCCGCGUGGGGGAAGACGGCU
RNAcentral lists this ribosomal RNA (395 nucleotides) under uncultured bacterium. RNAcentral describes it as "bacterial SSU rRNA". It matches the Rfam family "Bacterial small subunit ribosomal RNA", at positions 28 to 416 of the family's 1533-position model. The record is from RNAcentral.